AGAGUUUGAUCCUGGCUCAGAACGUACGCUGGCGGCACGCCUAACACAUGCAAGUCGAACGAAGUAGCAAUACUUAGUGGCAGACGGGUGAGUAACAUGUAGGUAUCUGCCCUUUGGCCUGGAAUAACACGAGGAAACUUGUGCUAAUACCGGAUAAGUCUUUACGGAGAAAGCUUUAUGCACCAUUGGAUGAGCCUGCACUUGAUUAGUUUGUUGGUGGGGUAAUGGCCUACCAAGACUGUGAUCAAUAGCUGAUUUGAGAGGAUGAUCAGCCACAUUGGGACUGAGACACGGCCCAAACUCCUACGGGAGGCAGCAGUGGGGAAUCUUGCACAAUGGAGGAAACUCUGAUGCAGCGAUGCCGCGUGAGUGAAGAAGGCCCUUGGGUUGUAAAGCUCUUUCGUCGGGGAAGAAAAUGACUGUACCCGAAUAAGAAGGUCCGGCUAACUUCGUGCCAGCAGCCGCGGUAAUACGAAGGGACCUAGCGUAGUUCGGAAUUACUGGGCUUAAAGAGUUCGUAGGUGGUUGAAAUAGUUGGUGGUGAAAUCCCAGAGCUUAACUCUGGAACUGCCAUCAAAACUUUUCAGCUAGAGUAUGAUAGAGGAAAGCAGAAUUUCUAGUGUAGAGGUGAAAUUCGUAGAUAUUAGAAAGAAUACCAAUUGCGAAGGCAGCUUUCUGGAUCAUUACUGACACUGAGGAACGAAAGCAUGGGUAGCGAAGAGGAUUAGAUACCCUCGUAGUCCAUGCCGUAAACGAUGUGUGUUAGACGUUGGAAAUUUAUUUUCAGUGUCGCAGGGAAACCGAUAAACACACCGCCUGGGGAGUACGACCGCAAGGUUAAAACUCAAAUGAAUUGACGGGGACCCGCACAAGUAGUGGAGCAUGUGGUUUAAUUCGAAGAUACGCGCAGAACCUUACCAACACUUGACAUGUUCGUCGCGACUCUAAGAGAUUAGAGUUUUCGGUUCGGCCGGACGAAACACAGGUGCUGCAUGGCUGUCGUCAGCUCGUGUCGUGAGAUGUUGGGUUAAGUCCCGCAACGAGCGCAACCCUCACUUUUAGUUGCCAUCAUUAAGUUGGGCACUCUGAAAGAACUGCCAGUGAUAAGCUGGAGGAAGGUGGGGAUGACGUCAAGUCCUCAUGGCCCUUACGUGUUGGGCUACACACGUGCUACAAUGG
RNAcentral lists this ribosomal RNA (1179 nucleotides) under uncultured bacterium. RNAcentral's name for it is "bacterial SSU rRNA". It matches the Rfam family "Bacterial small subunit ribosomal RNA", at positions 8 to 1233 of the family's 1533-position model. The record is from RNAcentral.